CUUGAAUCUUAUAUGCUUUUUAUUGCUCUGUAAUACAUUCCAUUAUCACAUAUAAAAAGUUCUCAUCAUUUCAUCAAGUUUAUCUAUUUAUUUAUUUAUUUAAAUUCUAUUAUUUUGGUGACUUUGUUUUAACUGAUAUUGUGCAUGCUCUGUUUUCAGGUCCUUUAUUUAUUUAAUUAAUUUUGUUCAUUGCAAGAGAUCCGUUAACCCUUUCAAACCUCUAUAUUUAGGAGGAUAGGUGGAAAUAUGAGAACAUUGGAGGCCAAAAAACAGGCAGAUUAAAGUCCACAUGAUGCUUCAAAUGAGCCUUAGGAAUACACGCUAAUGCUCUAUUCUUGAUGAUGACUUGAUUAUAGAGAAGUUCUCCGCAGCAAUUAGUGCGUCCAUUAUUGGUGUAAUUGGAAUGGAGACAUCACUU
Non-coding RNA from Arachis ipaensis, 418 nucleotides. The record is from RefSeq and is a predicted model, not a curated record. NCBI's taxonomy places the organism in Eukaryota, Viridiplantae, Streptophyta, Magnoliopsida, Fabales, Fabaceae.